UGGGGAAUAUUGGACAAUGGGCGCAAGCCUGAUCCAGCCAUGCCGCGUGAGUGAUGAAGGCCCUAGGGUUGUAAAGCUCUUUCACCGGUGAAGAUAAUGACGGUAACCGGAGAAGAAGCCCCGGCUAACUUCGUGCCAGCAGCCGCGGUAAUACGAAGGGGGCUAGCGUUGUUCGGUUUUACUGGGCGUAAAGCGCACGUAGGCGGACUUUUAAGUCAGGGGUGAAAUCCCGGGGCUCAACCCCGGAACUGCCUUUGAUACUGGAAGUCUUGAGUAUGGUAGAGGUGAGUGGAAUUCCGAGAGUAGAAGUGAAAUUCGUAGAUAUUCGGAGGAACACCAGUGGCGAAGGCGGCUCACUGGACCAUUACUGACGCUGAGGUGCGAAAGCGUGGGGAGCAAACAGG
Molecule: ribosomal RNA, 404 nt
Filed under: Actinomycetes bacterium
Lineage: Bacteria; Bacillati; Actinomycetota; Actinomycetes
Description: Actinobacteria bacterium partial 16S ribosomal RNA
Rfam family: Bacterial small subunit ribosomal RNA
Source: RNAcentral